This 519-nucleotide ribosomal RNA is filed under the name uncultured eukaryote. Its description in RNAcentral is "SSU rRNA". It matches the Rfam family "Eukaryotic small subunit ribosomal RNA", at positions 1161 to 1703 of the family's 1831-position model. The record is from RNAcentral.
AGGGCACCACCAGGAGUGGAGCCUGCGGCUUAAUUUGACUCAACACGGGAAAACUCACCCGGCCCGGACACUGUAAGGAUUGACAGACUGAGAGCUCUUUCUUAAUUCGGUGGGUGGUGGAGCAUGGCCGUUCUUAGUUGGUGGAGUGAUUUGUCUGGUUAAUUCCGAUAACGAACGAGACUCUGGCCUAUUAAAUAGACGGCGUAUCGAAACGUACGUCGAGCUUCUUAGAGGGACAAGCGGCGUCUAGCCGCAUGAAAUAGAGCAAUAACAGGUCUGUGAUGCCCUUAGAUGUCCGGGGCUGCACGCGCGCUACACUGAAAGAAUCAGCGUGCGCGUACGCCUGGUUCGGAAGGACCGGGUAACCCGAUGAAAUUCUUUCGUGCUUGGGAUAGGGAAUUGCAAUUAUUUCCCUUGAACGAGGAAUUCCCAGUAAAUGCAGGUCAUAAGCUCGCGUUGAUUACGUCCCUGCCCUUUGUACACACCGCCCGUCGCUACUACCGAUUGAAUGAUUUAGUG